This 26-nucleotide unclassified non-coding RNA is filed under the name Mus musculus (house mouse). RNAcentral's name for it is "oocyte_clustered_small_RNA9379". Lineage: Eukaryota; Metazoa; Chordata; Mammalia; Rodentia; Muridae. The record is from RNAcentral.
CCACAAACAUCAUGAGAGCUGCGCAG